GCACCCGUAGCUCAGUUGGAUAGAGCGCUUGUUUCCGGAACAAGAUGUCGUAGGUUCGAAUCCUACCGGGUGUACCA
Molecule: transfer RNA, 77 nt
Filed under: Verrucomicrobiota bacterium
Lineage: Bacteria; Pseudomonadati; Verrucomicrobiota
Description: tRNA-Arg
Rfam family: tRNA
About the family: Transfer RNA (tRNA) molecules are approximately 80 nucleotides in length.
Source: RNAcentral